UGUUCCCUCUCCUACGAAAAUUCUGAAACUCUUGGUGUCAUGCGUUCGUGAGCCAUGGAAACGUGUGAACGUCGAGCCCUAUCACUAGAGAAAUUAAUGAUCAACGAGCAUCUCCACCACCUCCCUGCCACACAGCACCCUCGCUAAGGACAUCAUCACCGAUCUCCCCUUCACGCAGGGCACUAAAAUAAGCCUUAGACAGCUUCUCCUCGCCAUCGAGUUUUAUUGAAUUAAAUGCAUAAAAUUUGGUAAGAUAAUUAGAGCGUUAGUACCGCCUUUUUAUUAUUUAGUUAAAAGUGAUAUGUAUAUUGGUACCUAUUGGAAGACGUUGCUGACUUUGUUGUAUAUUGAAAAUUGUGUAAUUGUGAUUUCUUGGUUGGAUUUGAAGUGUGGAUAGCGUGUGGUUGUUGUGGUGGUUGCGUGAGAUUUUGUAAGCGGGCUUAAUGUGUUGGACUGGUCUUGAGGUUGGACAAAUUGUGUUGGAUAUGCAGGGAGUUAAGUUGAUGCUCGGGUUUGAGGAGUGGUUGUUUGUUACUGUUUGAGUUAUAUACUAACUGUUAGAGUUAAUGUUAGAUUGUUUGGAUGUAGCUUUUGCUAUUUGGGUUGAUGUUGGUUAUGAGAUAUGUGGUAUUAUGUGGCUGUCCAGUUUUUCUCUAUGGUUGCUAUUGGGUUAAUUAUGUUGGAUUGACAUGUGGAGGUUCGGGUUAGUAUGUUAGUGGUUGGCUGUUUGAGCUAUAUGUCGGCUGUGUUGGAGUCUUCACUGAUAGUUGAGUCCAUGUUAAUAGUUUUCGAGAUUUGUAUGCAGGCUGUUUUUGAAUUGAUGUUGGGUAUUGGGGUGGUUUAUUUGUCUGAUUAAGUGAUGAGGUGUGUCGGGCAGGAACUAUUGCAAGUUGUGUGGAUGCUUGAGUUUGACUUGUGGGCAGGUUGGGUAUUAUAUUCCAUAUGUGAAAAUGAUCAUAAUUUAUAUUGUACUUUUUUUUUCUUGACAUGAUGAAGUAUUUGAAAA
This is a long non-coding RNA of Juglans microcarpa x Juglans regia, 1006 nucleotides long. RefSeq lists it as uncharacterized. The transcript is spliced from 2 exons. The record is from RefSeq and is a predicted model, not a curated record. Lineage: Eukaryota; Viridiplantae; Streptophyta; Magnoliopsida; Fagales; Juglandaceae.